GGGUUGUGAGGUUAAGCGACUAAGCGUACACGGUGGAUGCCCUGGCAGUCAGAGGCGAUGAAGGGCGUGCUAAUCUGCGAUAAGCGCCGGUAAGGUGAUAUGAACCGUUAUAACCGGCGAUACCCGAAUGGGGAAACCCAGUGUGACUCGUCACACUAUCAUUAACUGAAUCCAUAGGUUAAUGAGGCGAACCGGGGGAACUGAAACAUCUAAGUACCCCGAGGAAAAGAAAUCAACCGAGAUUCCCCCAGUAGCGGCGAGCGAACGGGGAGGAGCCCAGAGCCUGAAUCAGCAUGUGUGUUAGUGGAAGCGUCUGGAAAGGCGCGCGAUACAGGGUGACAGCCCCGUACACAAAAGCGCAUGUGCUGUGAGCUCGAUGAGUAGGGCGGGACACGUGGUAUCCUGUCUGAAUAUGGGGGGACCAUCCUCCAAGGCUAAAUACUCCUGACUGACCGAUAGUGAACCAGUACCGUGAGGGAAAGGCGAAAAGAACCCCGGCGAGGGGAGUGAAAAAGAACCUGAAACCGUGUACGUACAAGCAGUGGGAGCCCCACCACUAAGCCAGUGGUGAACUCCACAUACGCAUCCUUUGCUGAGGAUACGGUUAACGGAGCGAAAGCGACGUUCAACCGCAAAA
Molecule: ribosomal RNA, 637 nt
Filed under: Salmonella enterica subsp. enterica serovar Bovismorbificans
Lineage: Bacteria; Pseudomonadati; Pseudomonadota; Gammaproteobacteria; Enterobacterales; Enterobacteriaceae
Description: partial 23S ribosomal RNA
Rfam family: Bacterial large subunit ribosomal RNA
Source: RNAcentral